AUUUAAGUAAUUUAAAAUAAAAUUUUGAUUUGUGGGAUCAAAUAUGUAAAAAAUUUACCUUAAAUU
Molecule: transfer RNA, 66 nt
Filed under: Porhydrus obliquesignatus
Lineage: Eukaryota; Metazoa; Arthropoda; Insecta; Coleoptera; Dytiscidae
Description: tRNA-His
Source: RNAcentral